This 911-nucleotide long non-coding RNA is filed under the name Equus asinus (donkey). RNAcentral's name for it is "lncRNA (ENSEASG00005031048.1, ENSEASG00020000869.1)". The record is from RNAcentral. Lineage: Eukaryota; Metazoa; Chordata; Mammalia; Perissodactyla; Equidae.
UGGGGUGAUAUCCUGGAAAGCAAGCUGGUUUAGGUCCCAGGGUGCAAUCAUUCUGGCUUGCAGGAUGGGUGAGAGGAACAGAUAUGCUGCAUGGAGGGUGACAAAAAUGAAGUACGCUGAGGUGAAGUCACUUGCUCAAGGUCACACAGCAGGCCCCUGGAGGAGGCGGAAUUGGAACCAGGUUAGGGUGAACAGUGUCUUCUUGGCCACACUGAGCAUGAAGCAGCAGAAAGUCACCUAAGAACACUGGGUGGCUUCUCCCCUUAGCACGUGACUUUGCAGUUCCAAAAAUCCCGGGAAAGCCAGAGGGGGUGCACUGUACCACUGGUCUAAUUCUGAAGACCGUGAACGGGAGAAGGAUAAUAAGGAACUUAGGGGAAACUAAAAGCACAAAGUAACCUCAAGAAAAAUUGGCCCAGAUGGACAAAUUCCCUAAGCAUCUUUCACUACUCUGAAGUCCUAGGAGCCAGCUUUAAAACCCUCUGUCAGGGUUACUUCAACAGCAACUUGUAGAGAGGGAAAAGGCUAGAAAUUUUCUGCACCCUCUGGGUUUUGUUGAUUAGUAAAGCUGGGAGAACAGCCACUGCUGCCUCCCAGGGCUGUUGUUCAAACUGUCACAAAUACAAGAAGGGCCGCCACAGGGGAAGGCCUUGGUUUCAGUGUGACCCCCCGGCCGCUGUGAGCACAGCCAAGGCCGUGGCUCUUCUCUCUGGGUCACUUGAUUGGCAUGUGAUCAUGAUGCUGGCAGCCCAAGGGCUGGAGCCAUUCACUGAAGGUUGCUAGACAAUGAAUUAUUUCACAAACACUGAAAUCUAAAAAGUAUUCAGAGCCAUCCAAGUAUGAAGACAUUACUAAUAUAUGCUUUUCUCAAGGGAAAGCGACUUCAACAAGAAAAAAAAUACACGUCCCAC